GAUUGAACGCUGGCGGCAGGCCUAACACAUGCAAGUCGAACGGUAACAGGAAGAAGCUUGCUUCUUUGCUGACGAGUGGCGGACGGGUGAGUAAUGUCUGGGAAACUGCCUGAUGGAGGGGGAUAACUACUGGAAACGGUAGCUAAUACCGCAUAACGUCGCAAGACCAAAGAGGGGGACCUUAGGGCCUCUUGCCAUCGGAUGUGCCCAGAUGGGAUUAGCUAGUAGGUGGGGUAAAGGCUCACCUAGGCGACGAUCCCUAGCUGGUCUGAGAGGAUGACCAGCCACACUGGAACUGAGACACGGUCCAGACUCCUACGGGAGGCAGCAGUGGGGAAUAUUGCACAAUGGGCGCAAGCCUGAUGCAGCCAUGCCGCGUGUAUGAAGAAGGCCUUCGGGUUGUAAAGUACUUUCAGCGGGGAGGAAGGUGUUGUGGUUAAUAACCACAGCAAUUGACGUUACCCGCAGAAGAAGCACCGGCUAACUCCGUGCCAGCAGCCGCGGUAAUACGGAGGGUGCAAGCGUUAAUCGGAAUUACUGGGCGUAAAGCGCACGCAGGCGGUCUGUCAAGUCGGAUGUGAAAUCCCCGGGCUCAACCUGGGAACUGCAUUCGAAACUGGCAGGCUUGAGUCUCGUAGAGGGGGGUAGAAUUCCCAGGUGUAGCGGUGAAAUGCGUAGAGAUCUGGAGGAAUACCGGUGGCGAAGGCGGCCCCUGGACGAAGACUGACGCUCAGGUGCGAAAGCGUGGGGGAGCAAACAGGAUUAGAUACCCUGGUAGUCCACGCCGUAAACGAUGUCUAUUUGGAGGUUGUGCCCUUGAGGUGUGGCUUCCGGAGCUAACGCGUUAAAUAGACCGCCUGGGGAGUACGGCCGCAAGGUUAAAACUCAAAUGAAUUGACGGGGGCCCGCACAAGCGGUGGAGCAUGUGGUUUAAUUCGAUGCAACGCGAAGAACCUUACCUGGUCUUGACAUCCACAGAACUUUCCAGAGAUGGAGGGGUGCCUUCGGGAACUGUGAGACAGGUGCUGCAUGGCUGUCGUCAGCUCGUGUUGUGAAAUGUUGGGUUAAGUCCCGCAACGAGCGCAACCCUUAUCCUUUGUUGCCAGCGGUUAGGCCGGGAACUCAAAGGAGACUGCCAGUGAUAAACUGGAGGAAGGUGGGGAUGACGUCAAGUCAUCAUGGCCCUUACGACCAGGGCUACACACGUGCUACAAUGGCGCAUACAAAGAGAAGCGAACUCGCGAGAGCAAGCGGACCUCAUAAAGUGCGUCGUAGUCCGGACUGGAGUCUGCAACUCGACUCCAUGAAGUCGGAAUCGCUAGUAAUCGUGGAUCAGAAUGCCACGGUGAAUACGUUCCCGGGCCUUGUACACACCGC
RNAcentral lists this ribosomal RNA (1377 nucleotides) under uncultured Gammaproteobacteria bacterium. RNAcentral's name for it is "bacterial SSU rRNA". It matches the Rfam family "Bacterial small subunit ribosomal RNA", at positions 27 to 1393 of the family's 1533-position model. Lineage: Bacteria; Pseudomonadati; Pseudomonadota; Gammaproteobacteria. The record is from RNAcentral.